ACUUUGUGAUAGUCAAGUGACAUUGCAUGUAGUGGCCAAUCCUUUUUUCCAUGAGCGAAAUCAUCAUAUUGAAAUGAAUUGUCAUUUUAUACGUGAUAUGAUUGUUGAUAGCACGUUAGCAACUAGACAUGUUGGUAUACGACACAACAGCUAAUAGACUUGUUUACGAAGCCACUCGAAAAGGAGAAGCUUUCAAUCAUGUUACGCAAAUUGGGAGUUCUUGACAUUCACUCUCCAACUUGGGGUAUUGAGGGGUACUAUUAGACAAAUAUAGCAAAUUAGUUAGAAUUAAAUUAUAAUUAUAAUUGUAAUUGUACUCCUAGCAGGAAUUCUUGUUGUAUAAGGAAUGUAAUUGUAUUAACGGCGGAGCUAGCAACAAGGCUAGGGUGGGCUCUAGCAUAGGGAGAUUUUUAGUUGUUUAAGGUUAAAAAUACUGAUAAUUUAGAUUAUUUUAUUAUUUUUAAUUGUUAUAGCUCAUCCAAUAAGUAAAAGUUCUAAACAAUAGGACUACUUUUAGAAAAAAGUAAGAGUUAAUAAAUAUUAAAUAAAUUAUUUACUUUAAUCAAUAUCAAAAUUUAUUAUUAUUAU
This 588-nucleotide long non-coding RNA is filed under the name Malus domestica (apple). RNAcentral describes it as "long non-coding RNA (MDOM_LNC003557)". The record is from RNAcentral. Lineage: Eukaryota; Viridiplantae; Streptophyta; Magnoliopsida; Rosales; Rosaceae.